CCUACGGGGAGCAGCAGUGGGGAAUAUUGGGCAAUGGGCGCAAGCCUGACCCAGCAACGCCGCGUGAAGGAAGAAGGCUUUCGGGUUGUAAACUUCUUUUCUGAGGGACGAAGAAAGUGACGGUACCUCAGGAAUAAGCCACGGCUAACUACGUGCCAGCAGCCGCGGUAAUACGUAGGUGGCCAGCGUUAUCCGGAUUUAUUGGGUGUAAAGGGCGUGUAGGCGGGAAAGCAAGUCAGAUGUGAAAACUCAGGGCUCAACCCUGAGCCUUCAUUUGAAACUGUUUGUCUUGAGUGCUGGAGAGGCAAUCGGAAUUCCGUGUGUAGCGGUGAAAUGCGUAGAUAUACGGAGGAACACCAGUGGCGAAGGCGGAUUGCUGGACAGUAACUGACGCUGAGGCGCGAAAGCGUGGGGAGCAAACAGGAUUAGAUACUCCUGUAGUC
RNAcentral lists this ribosomal RNA (443 nucleotides) under uncultured bacterium. RNAcentral describes it as "partial 16S ribosomal RNA". It matches the Rfam family "Bacterial small subunit ribosomal RNA", at positions 338 to 795 of the family's 1533-position model. The record is from RNAcentral.